Molecule: ribosomal RNA, 504 nt
Filed under: uncultured bacterium
Lineage: Bacteria
Description: partial 16S ribosomal RNA
Rfam family: Bacterial small subunit ribosomal RNA
Source: RNAcentral
AUUGAACGCUGGCGGCAUGCCUUACACAUUCAAGUCGAACGGCAGCAUGGAGAGCUUGCUCUCUGAUGGCGAGUGGCGAACGGGUGAGUAAAGCAUCGGAACGUACCGUGUAGUGGGGGAUAACGUAGCGAAAGUUACGCUAAUACCGCAUACGCACUGAGGUGGAAAGCAGGGGAUCGUAAGACCUUGCGCUAUACGAGCGGCCGAUGUCAGAUUAGCUAGUUGGUAGGGUAAAGGCCUACCAAGGCGACGAUCUGUAGCGGGUCUGAGAGGAUGAUCCGCCACACUGGGACUGAGACACGGCCCAGGCUCCUACGGGAGGCAGCAGUGGGGAAUUUUGGACAAUGGGGGCAACACUGAUCCAGCCAUGCCGCGUGAGUGAAGAAGGCCUUCGGGUUGUAAAGCUCUUUCGGCCGGGAAGAAAUCGCACAGGCCAAUACCCUGUGUGGAUGACGGUACCGGCAUAAGAAGCACCGGCUAACUACGUGCCAGCAGCCGCCGUAA